Molecule: ribosomal RNA, 657 nt
Filed under: uncultured Lachnospiraceae bacterium
Lineage: Bacteria; Bacillati; Bacillota; Clostridia; Lachnospirales; Lachnospiraceae
Description: bacterial SSU rRNA
Rfam family: Bacterial small subunit ribosomal RNA
Source: RNAcentral
UUUGCUUAGAUUCUUCGGAUGAAGAGGAUUGUGACUGAGCGGCGGACGGGUGAGUAACGCGUGGGUAACCUGCCUCAUACAGGGGGAUAACAGUUAGAAAUGACUGCUAAUACCGCAUAAGACCACAGCACCGCAUGGUGCGGGGGUAAAAACUCCGGUGGUAUGAGAUGGACCCGCGUCUGAUUAGCUAGUUGGUAAGGUAACGGCAUACCAAGGCGACGAUCAGUAGCCGACCUGAGAGGGUGACCGGCCACAUUGGGACUGAGACACGGCCCAAACUCCUACGGGAGGCAGCAGUGGGGAAUAUUGCACAAUGGGGGAAACCCUGAUGCAGCGACGCCGCGUGAGCGAAGAAGUAUUUCGGUAUGUAAAGCUCUAUCAGCAGGGAAGAAAAUGACGGUACCUGACUAAGAAGCACCGGCUAAAUACGUGCCAGCAGCCGCGGUAAUACGUAUGGUGCAAGCGUUAUCCGGAUUUACUGGGUGUAAAGGGAGCGUAGACGGAUGGGCAAGUCUGAUGUGAAAACCCGGGGCUCAACCCCGGGACUGCAUUGGAAACUGUUCAUCUAGAGUGCUGGAGAGGUAAGUGGAAUUCCUAGUGUAGCGGUGAAAUGCGUAGAUAUUAGGAGGAACACCAGUGGCGAAGGCGGCUUACUGG